Molecule: ribosomal RNA, 433 nt
Filed under: uncultured bacterium
Lineage: Bacteria
Description: partial 16S ribosomal RNA
Rfam family: Bacterial small subunit ribosomal RNA
Source: RNAcentral
AACGAACGCUGGCGGCAUGCCUAACACAUGCAAGUCGAACGAGACCUUCGGGUCUAGUGGCGCACGGGUGCGUAACGCGUGGGAACCUGCCCUUAGGUUCGGAAUAACUCCCCUAAAGGGGUGCUAAUACCGGAUAAUGUCUUCGGACCCAAGAUUUAUCGCCUUUGGAUGGGCCCGCGUUGGUUUAGCUUGUUGGGAGGGUAAAAGCCUACCAAGGCGACGAUCCAUAGCUGGUCAGAGAGGAUGAUCAGCCACACUGGGACUGAGACACGGCCCAGACUACUACGGGAGGCAGCAGUGGGGAAUAUUGGACAAUGGGCGAAAGCAUGAUCCAGCAAUGCCGCGUGAGUGAUGAAGGCCUUAGGGUUGUAAAGCUCUUUUACCCGGGAUGAUAAUGACAGUACCGGGAGAAUAAGCUCCGGCUAACUCCGUG